This 475-nucleotide ribosomal RNA is filed under the name uncultured bacterium. RNAcentral's name for it is "bacterial SSU rRNA". It matches the Rfam family "Bacterial small subunit ribosomal RNA", at positions 28 to 526 of the family's 1533-position model. The record is from RNAcentral.
GAUGAACGCUGGCGGCGUGCCUAUACAUGCAAGUCGAACGAACUAAUUUAUUAGUGAGUGGCGAACGGGUGAGUAAUACAUAAGUAACCUGCCCUAGACAGGGGGAUAACUACUGGAAACGGUAGCUAAAACCGCAUAGGUAUGGGAAUCGCAUGAUUGCCAUAUUAAAAGUGCUAAGGCACUGGUAGAGGAUGGACUUAUGGCGCAUUAGCUAGUUGGUAGGGUAAAGGCUUACCAAGGCGACGAUGCGUAGCCGACCUGAGAGGGUGACCGGCCACAUUGGGACUGAGACACUGCCCAAACUCCUACGGGAGGCAGCAGUGGGGAAUAUUGCACAAUGGGGGAAACCCUGAUGCAGCGACGCCGCGUGAAGGAAGAAGUAUUUCGGUAUGUAAACUUCUAUCAGCAAGGAAGAAAAUGACGGUACUUGACUAAGAAGCCCCGGCUAACUACGUGCCAGCCGCCGCCGUAAAAC